GAGUAGCUGGGACUACAGGCGCCCGCCAUUACGCCCGGCUAAUUUUAUUUUAUUUUAUUUUUAGUAGAGACAGGGUUUCACUGUGUUAGCCAGGAUGGUCUGUGUCUCCUGACCUCGUGAUCCACCCGCCUCGGCCUCCCAAAGUGCUGGGAUUACAAAAUGCGUGAGCCACCACGCCCGGCUGAUGGUUUUAUUAAUAUAAGGGACUUUAACCCUUUGCUCAGGACUUCUACUUGCUGCUGCCAUGUGAAGAAGGACAUAUUUGCUUCCCCUUUCACCAUGAUUGUAAGUUUCCUGAGGCCUCCCCAGCCCUGCAGAACUAAAAGCAAUUUUGUUAAUCACUUUAGCACCAAUUCUUGCAUCCCUGGCAAUACUCAGAACUGCUUCCAUCCAAGUCUUUGAUGUGGGAAAGAAACACACACACACUCUUUCGCAUGUAAUCUGAAAACAAUUCACCUCUUGCCAAUGAAUGCACAGCACUCCACUUUAAUAGAGAGCAAGUUCUGUGGAGGUUUCUAAUCCUUUCUGCCAAAGAAGAGAAGAGAGAGAAUCACUCAGGAUCCCAUCCAGAAUACAUUACCUUUAGUCAUCAUGUCUCCUGUGGCUCUUCUUGGCUGUGACAGUUUCUCAGCUUUCCCAGUUUUAAUGAACUUGCCAUUUUCAUCAGAUUGUACCAAGACCUACUAUCAAUAUGACUUAUGACUAGUGGUGCUGACCUUGAUCACCUGGCUGAGGUAGUUCUUGUCAGGCUUCUCCACUGUCGAGUUGCUCUCCCCAUCCCCCUUUUCCAUAUUGUACUCUUUGAAAGAAAGUCACUAUAUGCAGCCCUUCCUUAAAAAUAUUAAAAUGAACUAGC
RNAcentral lists this long non-coding RNA (856 nucleotides) under Homo sapiens (human). RNAcentral's name for it is "long independently transcribed non-coding RNA 3046 (LINC03046)". Lineage: Eukaryota; Metazoa; Chordata; Mammalia; Primates; Hominidae. The record is from RNAcentral.